GAGCGAAUGGAUUAAGAGCUUGCUCUUAUGAAGUUAGCGGCGGACGGGUGAGUAACACGUGGGUAACCUACCCAUAAGACUGGGAUAACUCCGGGAAACCGGGGCUAAUACCGGAUAAUAUUUUGAACUGCAUAGUUCGAAAUUGAAAGGCGGCUUCGGCUGUCACUUAUGGAUGGACCCGCGUCGCAUUAGCUAGUUGGUGAGGUAACGGCUCACCAAGGCGACGAUGCGUAGCGACCUGAGAGGGUGAUCGGCCACACUGGGACUGAGACACGGCCCAGACUCCUACGGGAGGCAGCAGUAGGGAAUCUUCCGCAAUGGACGAAAGUCUGACGGAGCAACGCCGCGUGAGUGAUGAAGGCUUUCGGGUCGUAAAACUCUGUUGUUAGGGAAGAACAAGUGCUAGUUGAAUAAGCUGGCACCUUGACGGUACCUAACCAGAAAGCCACGGCUAACUACGUGCCAGCAGCCGCGGUAAUACGUAGGUGGCAAGCGUUAUCCGGAAUUAUUGGGCGUAAAGCGCGCGCAGGUGGUUUCUUAAGUCUGAUGUGAAAGCCCACGGCUCAACCGUGGAGGGUCAUUGGAAACUGGGAGACUUGAGUGCAGAAGAGGAAAGUGGAAUUCCAUGUGUAGCGGUGAAAUGCGUAGAGAUAUGGAGGAACACCAGUGGCGAAGGCGACUUUCUGGUCUGUAACUGACACUGAGGSGCGAAAGUGGGGGGAGCAAACAGGAUUAGAUACCCUGGUAGUCCACGCCCUAAACGAUGAGUGCUAAGUGUUAGAGGGUUUCSCCCUUUAGUGCUGGAGUUAACGCAUUAAGCACUCCCCUUGGGG
Molecule: ribosomal RNA, 833 nt
Filed under: Bacillus sp. Ob 11
Lineage: Bacteria; Bacillati; Bacillota; Bacilli; Caryophanales; Bacillaceae
Description: bacterial SSU rRNA
Rfam family: Bacterial small subunit ribosomal RNA
Source: RNAcentral